GACCCGGAAAUUAAAUCGUUUGAUAUUUGAUAGCAGGACGCACGUUAAACUGCGCUACUGCACAGCACCAUCAUGAUCUCAGAAUGGGUCUCAUAUAUAAUGUUUUACCUGCUCGCUGCUGUUUUCAGUGCAUUUCUUGCAUAUUGUCUGUAUGUUAGACAUGUUCAUCAGAAAUAUGAUCAUAUACCUGGACCUCCAAGAGACAAUUUUCUGCUGGGGCAUAUACCAAGUUUCAAUAGAGUGAUGAAAUCGGGAAUCCUUCUACACGACUUAUUUCUCAAUGGGGAGAAAAAUAUGGCCCUGUUUACAGGAUGAACAGUUUUCAUUAUGUCGUCAUCAUGGUUCAUUGUCCUGAGGCUACAAAGACAAUCCUGAUGUCACCUAAGUAUCUCAAAGAUCCUUUUGUCUACAAACAGCUCUUUAACUUGUUUGGAAAAAGGUAUGUUUUGUAUUAUUAUUUAUUGUUUUUUGGAAGGUGAAUGGGAAACAAAAAGUACAUCACAAUAAUAAUAAUAAUAAUA
Long non-coding RNA from Megalobrama amblycephala (Wuchang bream), 521 nucleotides. RefSeq lists it as uncharacterized. The transcript is spliced from 4 exons. The record is from RefSeq and is a predicted model, not a curated record. NCBI's taxonomy places the organism in Eukaryota, Metazoa, Chordata, Actinopteri, Cypriniformes, Xenocyprididae.